Non-coding RNA from Thermoactinomyces vulgaris, 422 nucleotides. NCBI's taxonomy places the organism in Bacteria, Bacillati, Bacillota, Bacilli, Caryophanales, Thermoactinomycetaceae. The record is from Rfam.
AAAGUAAACAAGGCAAUCGCCGGUGGAGUGCCGCAAGGCCCCACGGGAGGAAAGUCCGAGCUCCAUAGGGCAGGGUGCCGGCUAACGGCCGGUGGGGGCAACCCUAAGGCUAGUGCCACAGAAAUGUAGACCGCCGAUGGAGGUGUCUCACCUCACAGGCAAGGAUGCAACGGUGCGGUAAGAGCGCACCAGCAGCAUGGAGACAUGCUGGCUAGGUAAACCCCACCUGGAGCAAGACCUGAUAGGAGAUCGGCGCGCGCAAGCGUGCAACUGUGGCCCGCAGUGAUCUCGGGUUGGUCGCUUGAGCCUUGCAGCAAUGCAUGGCCUAGAUAGAUGAUUGCCACUCCAAUGGGUGGAAGACGUCCACAAGCCGUCGUUAUACCACUCGGAGAACAGAACUCGGCUUAUUGUUUGCUUUCCAC